GCUGGCGGCGUGCCUAAUACAUGCAAGUCGAGCGAGCGGAACUAACAGAUUUACUUCGGUAAUGACGUUAGGAAAGCGAGCGGCGGAUGGGUGAGUAACACGUGGGGAACCUGCCCCAUAGUCUGGGAUACCACUUGGAAACAGGUGCUAAUACCGGAUAAGAAAGCAGAUCGCAUGAUCAGCUUUUAAAAGGCGGCGUAAGCUGUCGCUAUGGGAUGGCCCCGCGGUGCAUUAGCUAGUUGGUAAGGUAAAGGCUUACCAAGGCGAUGAUGCAUAGCCGAGUUGAGAGACUGAUCGGCCACAUUGGGACUGAGACACGGCCCAAACUCCUACGGGAGGCAGCAGUAGGGAAUCUUCCACAAUGGACGCAAGUCUGAUGGAGCAACGCCGCGUGAGUGAAGAAGGUUUUCGGAUCGUAAAGCUCUGUUGUUGGUGAAGAAGGAUAGAGGUAGUAACUGGCCUUUAUUUGACGGUAAUCAACCAGAAAGUCACGGUUAACUACGUGCCAGCAGCCGCGGUAAUACGUAGGUGGCAAGCGUUGUCCGGAUUUAUUGGGCGUAAAGCGAGCGCAGGCGGAAGAAUAAGUCUGAUGUGAAAGCCCUCGGCUUAACCGAGGAACUGCAUCGGAAACUGUUUUUCUUGAGUGCAGAAGAGGAGAGUGGAACUCC
RNAcentral lists this ribosomal RNA (668 nucleotides) under Lactobacillus crispatus. RNAcentral describes it as "bacterial SSU rRNA". It matches the Rfam family "Bacterial small subunit ribosomal RNA", at positions 35 to 670 of the family's 1533-position model. Lineage: Bacteria; Bacillati; Bacillota; Bacilli; Lactobacillales; Lactobacillaceae. The record is from RNAcentral.